RNAcentral lists this ribosomal RNA (497 nucleotides) under uncultured bacterium. Its description in RNAcentral is "partial 16S ribosomal RNA". It matches the Rfam family "Bacterial small subunit ribosomal RNA", at positions 28 to 507 of the family's 1533-position model. The record is from RNAcentral.
GAUGAACGCUGGCGGCGUGCCUAAUACAUGCAAGUCGAGCGACCGGACGAUAAUCUUGCUUUUCUUAUGUUAGCGGCGGACGGGUGAGUAACACGUGUAUAACCUACCUAUAAUACUUUUAUAACUUCGUGAAACCUGAUCUAAUACCGGAUAAUAUUUUGAACCUCAUUGUUCAAAAGUUAAAUACGGUCUUUCUUUCACUUAUAGAUGUUUCCUCGCUGCAUUAGCUAGUUGGUAAGGUAACGGCUUACAAAGGCAACGAUGCAUAUCCGACCUGAGAGGGGGAUAGGAGACAAUGGAAAUGAGACACGGUAAAGACGACUACGGGAGGCAGCAGUAGGGAAUAUGACGCAAUGGGCGAAAGAAUGACGGAGCAACGCCGCGUGAGUGAUGAAGGUCUUCGGAUCGUAAAACUCUGUUAUUAGGGAAGAACAUAUGUGUAAGUAACUGUGCACAUCUUGACGGUAACUAAUCAGAAAGCCACGGCUAACUACGUG